CUCUAUGGCCAUACCACCCUGAACGCGCCCGAUCUCGUCUGAUCUCGGAAGCUAAGCAGGGUCGGGCCUGGUUAGUACUUGGAUGGGAGACCAAUGACGAUAUUUCUUAUCACUUACU
This 118-nucleotide ribosomal RNA is filed under the name Mustela putorius furo (domestic ferret). The record is from RNAcentral. Lineage: Eukaryota; Metazoa; Chordata; Mammalia; Carnivora; Mustelidae.